UUUAUUUUUUUACUUUAUUAUUUACUUUAUUAUUUACUUUAUUAUUUUAUUAUUUAUUAUUUUAUUUUAUUUUUUAUUAUUUUAUUUUAUUAUUUAUUUUAUUAUUUUAUUUUUUAUUAUUUUAUUUUUUAUUUUAUUUUAUUAUUUUAUUUUAUUAUUUUAUUUUAUUAUUUGUAAAAGUUGUAUGAUUACGUUGUGGUAUUUCAUGUGUACACAUCUGGUAAUCCUGUUUGUACACCAUCUAAAGUCAUUUGGUCACAGUGGCUUAGAAAUCUAAUAACUAAAUAAACACCUUUGAUAUUUACCUAAGUAAACACUCAUCUUGCAAUCUGUUUAAAGAAACUCUUUAGAUAGGUUUUUUUAAAAAAACUAGCCAGGAAUUCUCUGCCUAGUUUUUUUAUUGUUGCGUGUGGGACAGUUAGACCCAGUCAGAGUGAUGUGGGGUGAAGAUACUGAACUAAUUGUGGAGGGAUUCAGAUUUUAGCCUCCCCACCCACCCCCCAAACGCCUCAGCCAGGGAAGCGAAGUAGAGCCCAGUUCCUGGUGCCUUCAUCGACACACUAAUGUAUCUUGCAAUAAUCCCUUUAACCAGUGGUGGGAUUCAAAUAAUUUAACAACCGGUUCUCUGCCCUAAUUAUUUCUUUCAACAACCAGUUUACCAAACUGCUCAGAAAGAUAACAACCGGUUCUCCCGAAGUGGUGCGAACUGGCUGAAUCUCAUCACUGCCUUUAACCCCGUCAAAACUUCAGAAAUUGUGGGCGCUUCAUCACUGGAGGUUUUUAAGAAGAGACUGGAUAGCCAUUUAUCGGAAAUAGUAUAGAUUCUCCUGCUUGAGCAGGGGGCUGGACUAGAAGACCUCCAAGGUGCCUUCCAGCUCCUAUUCUAUUCUAUUCUAUUCUAUUCUCUUGUUUUAAGUUUUAAGUUUCUUUUAAUACAAGCAAUCCAUCUUCCAUUAAACAGUGUGUCGUCUGGGUACAAAUGUCUUGCGCAAUAACAAUUCAAAUUUACAGCCAUGUUCAUUAUUUGUCUACUCUUAACUUAAUACUGAUAUGCAUAACCUAUCUAAUACUGUAACAAUCCUCAUCUUAAUUUAUUUAAUUCUAUUGAUAUAUUUUCUACACUUCACUAAUCUACUUUUAUUUCUAACGUUCAUACUUAUUCUCUAGCCAUCGGUAGAAUAGUUCCCAUAUAAUAUCUUUUUUUUAAAAAUUUGAAUUUAUAUCCCGCUCUUCUCCGAAGACUCAGGGCGGCUUACAAUGUGUUAAGCAAUAGUCUUCAUCCAUUUGUAUAUUAUAUACAAAGUCAACUUUUAUUGCCCCCAACAAUCUGGGUCCUCAUUUUACCUACUUUAUAAAGGAUGGAAGGCUGAGUCAACCUUGGGCCUGGUGGGACUUGAACUUGCAGUAAUUGCAAGCAGCUGUGUUAAUAACAGACAGACUUAGUCUGCUGAGCCACCAGAGGCCCCAAACAAAAUAUUCAGUUUGUUCCUUCUCUUUAAUUGCAAGUGUUAACCUAUUCAUUUCUGCACAUUCUAUUCUAUUCUAUUCUAUUCGUCCCACUCUAUGGUUCCAGGUCCAUGCAGCUGCCCCAGCUCCUGGAAGACUCGGCCCGACCGGCUGGUCCGACCGACCUCUUCUCCGCUUCUAGCAGCUUCCAGCCAAGAUUUGAAAGCCGCAGAGGAACCUAUCCUCAGUGCUGGUAUGGCAGCAGCACAGACUCCUCAAGGACCUGAUGCUCACCAGCUUCGCCCACAUCAUGAUCCUGGGAUACCGCUCGGUCAGUGAGUGGCGAUCUGCCUGGCCAGGGUGUGUAUGUGUGUCCACUGAGUGGGUACCAAGUGGCAAGAGGUGCAAGUGGGGCAGGAGUUUUCAGACGAGGGGGAUGGAUGGAUGGAUGGAUGGAUGGGAGGUGGGCGAGCGCCAAGAACACUGAGGCAGCUCCCAAUCAGCUCAGAUGAUCCGCAGGUUGCCAUUAAUUUAUUUUAUUUAUUUAUUUAUUUAAUCAUAUUUAUAUACCGCCCUAUCUCCCGAAGGACUCAGGGCGGUUCACAGGCACUUAAAAACACAUAAAUACAAUAUAAAAGCAAUUAAAAAACUUAUUCUAAAAGCCCGUUAAUUAAAAUAUCAAAAUAAAACCCAAUUAAAACCCAUAAGUUUAAAAUCUAGCUCAGUCCUGCACAAUUAAAUAAGUAUGUUUUAAGCCCGCGGCGGAAGGUCCGAAGGUCCGGAAGCUGACGAAGUCCGGGGGGGUAGUUAAGGAGCCCAGCUGCCAUUAGCUGACCGGGGGAGGGAAGGGCUGCCUUCUCGGUUGCCCACGCCCAACCCUUCACUAUUUUCGGGGGAGGGUGUAUAUUUACGCCCACCCCCCAAAAAUCAGGCUUGGCCUUAUUUUCAGGACAUGUCGUAUUUUCGGGGAAACAUGGUAUUAUCACUUGAGGGGCUGCCCCAAAGAAGAGGGGCUCGACCUAUUCCCCAAAGCCCCUGAAGGCAGGACAAGAAGCAACGGAUGGAAACUCAUCAAGGAGAGAAGCAAGCUGGAAUUAAGGAGAAACUUCCCGACAGCGAGGCCAAUUAAACCGGUGGAACCACUUGCCACCAGAAGUUGGAGGUUUUUAAAUAGGGACCGGACAACCAUUUGUCUGAAAUGGCAUAGGGUCUCCUGCUUGAGCAAGGGGCUGGACUAGAAGACCUCCGAGGUCCCUACCAAUUCUAUUAUCGUGCCCUCUGAUUCAUCCCAAAACCUUGGCUGAGUGUUGCACGUUUACUAAAGAAACGGAUGACUCCGAAGAUGGGCCAAUGCCGGUCAAACGGUCAUCUCUUUUGAUCUUUCUUUUAGGACGGUUCUGGAAGAUUCUGGAACGGUGCCCACCCUGCGUCAUCCUUCCAGAGAAAAGGCCCUCCCAGCCCUUGUGGGAAUGACAACCCUUCCAGGAAUAGACGGAGCAGCAACUACUACAGCUCUCAACUGAGGACUGAGUAAAGGGGGUGUGAUUCAGCCUUCUCUCUCUCUCUCUCUCUCUCUCCAAAGGGCAAAGUUACACCUCCGUGUCUAAUAGUAGUAGGACACCGCAAGCAGCAACGAUCCGCUGAACAGAACAGAACAACAGAGCUGGAAGGGACCUUGGAGGUCUUCUAGUCCAACCCCUUGCUCAGCUGGCUUUUAUGCCUGAGGUGGGACUAGAACUCACCGUCUCCUGUUGAUUGGCUCAAAGUCACCCAAAUGGCUCUCAUGACUAAGGUGGGACUAGAACUCACCCUGUUGAUCAGCUCAAAGUCACCCAAAUGGCUUUCAUGACUAAGGUGGGACUAGAACUCACCCUGUUGAUCGGCUCAAAGUCACCCAAAUGGCUCUCAUGACUAAGGUGGGACUAGAACUCACUAUCUCCUGGUGAUUGGCCCACUGGCUUUCAUGCCAAAGACGGGACCUAGAACUCACCGUCUCCUGCUUUCUAGCCUAGUGCUUUAACCACUGGACCAAGAUGGCCUAGGGCUUUCCUGCAGGUGGAAGUUUCUGCAGCCUUCCCAAAGAGCAGCCAGUGUGUGUGUGUGUUUGUGUUUGUGUGUGUGUGUGUGUGUGUGUGCGCACACAUGUGGGUACAUCCCUGUGCGCGCAUGCAGGGAACGUGUCGGUCACUCUCCACCGCCUCUCUCGCUGGCAGGAGAGAGCCGGGCAGCUUCGGACAUUCAGCAAGCGUUGCCCUCGAUAGAAAUAACCCGCUUGUCAGAUGCCCAGGCUGGAGCAUGGCCAGGUGGAGUAACGGGUGCUUUCCUGCAAAAGGGCAAAGAACACCAAAACCCUCCCUGCAUUUCCCACCUCGUUCCCCUCACCCGAUCACACCCCACGGUCAAUCAACCAAUCAGAGUAGAGCAGGAAGGGACCUCGGAGGUCUUCUAGUCAAUCCUAGGCCACUUCAGAGAGUCAAGAGGGUCCAAUGGGGAAAACAUAGGAGCACAUUCCGUUCCUAGUUUCUACUACUCUUACCUCGCCCUCUGCCUUGGCACAGGUAGUUCUCGACUUACGACCACAACGGAUGGCUCAGAAUUACAGCCGCUACUGAAAAAAAAGUCACUUACAACCAGUCCUUGCAAUUAUGACCGUCGCGGCAUUAUGACCUCAGUCCGCAUGAUCAAAAUUUGGGCACUUGGAAACCGGCCUGGAUUUAUGACCCUUGCAGCAUCCUCUGUGUGUGUGUGUGUGAAUUGUGGCCGUAAGAUGAGGACUAACCAUACAGAAAGCCCUUCCCACCUGCACCAUCGUGCCCGGGGUACCCUCUUUGGAAGCAAAGCUGGGCAUCUCAACACGAAGCUGCCGGGCCCUUUCCUAUACCAGCCACGGAGCUGGAUUCAGGAGGCGCAGGGCUCGGCUGCGCAGGGCUCGGUGCAGAUCUGCCCAGGGUCCUGGCUGGCUCGGAGGCCUGGAUGGUUGGAGAGCAACAGGGACGGCGUCUCUAUUAAUAACCUGCCAAGUCAGAGGAGGCCGGGAGGGCAGCCCCUUAGGAAGAGCCACCAGCUUGGCAGUCGCCCUCUGCUCAAAUUCCAGCUGCGGCUGCCCGUCUCUCAACUGGGACUCCAGCGAUGGAAGAGUGUCUGAAGAGCCAAAGUCCUUCGUGGAGGGGAAAACCUCGCCUUCCAGAGCCUUUUCCAGCCACGCGCCCACUGGAGACCCUCGCUUGCAGCCUCUGCUCUGCUGCCCUUCGCCCUAGGCUGGGACAGCCGCAGGAGCAAUCUGCCAAGAGGUUUAUAACAGAAUGACAAAGUUGGGUGGGACCUUGGAGGUCUUCUAAUCCACCCCCCCUGCUCAAGCAGGAGGCUCUAUACCAUUCCAGAUAGGUGGCUGUCCAGUGUCUUCUUAAAAACCUCCAGUGUCGGAACAUUCACAACUUCUGGUGGGAAGCAGUUCCACCGGUUAAUUGUCCUCACCGUUAGGAAAUUUCUCCUUAAUUCCAGCCUGCUUCUCUCCUUGAUUCAUUUCCACCUGUUGUUGUUUCUUCUUCUGCUUUCUGGUACUUUGGAAAAUAAGUUAAGGGGCGUGCAUAAGUGCACAAAAGUGCCUACCGUUCCUGUCCUAUUGUUUCCUUUCAAUAUAUGUUCCUGUAUAUAAUGUUGUGACAAAAUAAAAAAAAAAAUAA
Molecule: long non-coding RNA, 5129 nt
Organism: Ahaetulla prasina
Lineage: Eukaryota; Metazoa; Chordata; Lepidosauria; Squamata; Colubridae
Exons: 3
Source: RefSeq, a predicted model, not a curated record